This 632-nucleotide ribosomal RNA is filed under the name Zyras sp. 1 HE-2012. RNAcentral's name for it is "partial 16S ribosomal RNA". The stretch from base 383 to 541 matches the Rfam family "Bacterial large subunit ribosomal RNA", at positions 2473 to 2632 of the family's 2925-position model. The record is from RNAcentral. Lineage: Eukaryota; Metazoa; Arthropoda; Insecta; Coleoptera; Staphylinidae.
CCUUAGGUUUAAAUUAUAAGGUUUAACCUGCCCAAUGAGUAAUUUAAUGGCCGCAGUAUUUUGACUGUGCAAAGGUAGCAUAAUCAUUAGUUUUUUAAUUGAAAACUGGAAUGAAAGGUUGGACGAAAAAAUAGCUGUCUCUUUAUAAUUUAAUUAGAAUUUUAUUUUUAAGUUAAAAAGCUUAAAUAUUUUUAAAAGACGAGAAGACCCUAUAGAGUUUUAUUAAUAUAAAAUUAUUUUUUUGUUUUUAAAUUUUAAAAUAUUAUUGUUGUAUUAAUUUAAUUGGGGUGAUUAAAAAAUUUAAUAAACUUUUUUUUUGUUUUAACAUUAAUUUAUGUUUUUUUGAUCCAUUAUUAUGAUUAAAAGAAUAAAUUACCUUAGGGAUAACAGCAUAAUUUCUUUUAAGAGUUCUAAUCGAUUAAGAAGUUUGUGACCUCGAUGUUGGAUUAAAAUUAAUUUUUGGUGGAGAAACUAAAAUAUUAGGUCUGUUCGACCUUUAAAAUUUUACAUGAUCUGAGUUUAGACCGGUGUAAGCCAGGUCGGUUUCUAUCUUUAAAUUUAUUAUUAUAUUUUAGUACGAAAGGACCAAUUAUAAUAAAAAUUUUAUUAAAAUGAUUAAUAAUAAUGGACUA